RNAcentral lists this RNase P RNA (363 nucleotides) under Salmonella enterica subsp. enterica serovar Weltevreden. RNAcentral's name for it is "RNase P RNA component class A". It matches the Rfam family "Bacterial RNase P class A". Rfam says of the family: Ribonuclease P (RNase P) is a ubiquitous endoribonuclease, found in archaea, bacteria and eukarya as well as chloroplasts and mitochondria. Its best characterised activity is the generation of mature 5'-ends of tRNAs by cleaving the 5'-leader elements of precursor-tRNAs. Lineage: Bacteria; Pseudomonadati; Pseudomonadota; Gammaproteobacteria; Enterobacterales; Enterobacteriaceae. The record is from RNAcentral.
GAAGCUGACCAGACGGUCGCCGCUUCGUCGUCGACUUUCGGGGAGACGGGCGGAGGGAGAAAGUCCGGGCUCCAUAGGGCGAAGGGUGCCGGUAACGCACGGGGAAACCCACGACCAGUGCAACGGGAAGCAAACCGCCGACGUAAGUGGGGAUCAGGUAAGUGAAAGGGGUGCGGUAAGAGCGCACCGCGCGGCACAACAGUCCGUGGCACGGUAAGCUCCACCCGGAGCAAAGGCCAAAUAGGGGUUCAUAAGGUACGGCCCGUACUGAACCGGGUAGGCAUAACGAGCCAGUGAGCGAUUGCUGGCCUAGAUGAAUGACUGUCCGCACGACAGAACCCGGCUUAUCGGUCGGUUUCACUU